UUUUUUUUUUUUUUUUUUCUUCUCUCUCAGAUUGAACGCUGGCGGCAGGCCUAACACAUGCAAGUCGAGCGGUAGCACAGAGAGCUUGCUCUCGGGUGACGAGCGGCGGACGGGUGAGUAAUGUCUGGGAAACUGCCUGAUGGAGGGGGAUAACUACUGGAAACGGUAGCUAAUACCGCAUAACGUCGCAAGACCAAAGUGGGGGACCUUCGGGCCUCAUGCCAUCAGAUGUGCCCAGAUGGGAUUAGCUGGUAGGUGGGGUAACGGCUCACCUAGGCGACGAUCCCUAGCUGGUCUGAGAGGAUGACCAGCCACACUGGAACUGAGACACGGUCCAGACUCCUACGGGAGGCAGCAGUGGGGAAUAUUGCACAAUGGGCGCAAGCCUGAUGCAGCCAUGCCGCGUGUGUGAAGAAGGCCUUCGGGUUGUAAAGCACUUUCAGCGGGGAGGAAGGCGGUGAGGUUAAUAACCUCACCGAUUGACGUUACCCGCAGAAGAAGCACCGGCUAACUCCGUGCCAGCAGCCGCGGUAAUACGGAGGGUGCAAGCGUUAAUCGGAAUUACUGGGCGUAAAGCGCACGCAGGCGGUCUGUCAAGUCGGAUGUGAAAUCCCCGGGCUCAACCUGGGAACUGCAUUCGAAACUGGCAGGCUAGAGUCUUGUAGAGGGGGGUAGAAUUCCAGGUGUAGCGGUGAAAUGCGUAGAGAUCUGGAGGAAUACCGGUGGCGAAGGCGGCCCCCUGGACAAAGACUGACGCUCAGGUGCGAAAGCGUGGGGAGCAAACAGGAUUAGAUACCCUGGUAGUCCACGCUGUAAACGAUGUCGAUUUGGAGGUUGUGCCCUUGAGGCGUGGCUUCCGGAGCUAACGCGUUAAAUCGACCGCCUGGGGAGUACGGCCGCAAGGUUAAAACUCAAAUGAAUUGACGGGGGCCCGCACAAGCGGUGGAGCAUGUGGUUUAAUUCGAUGCAACGCGAAGAACCUUACCUGGUCUUGACAUCCACAGAACUUUCCAGAGAUGGAUUGGUGCCUUCGGGAACUGUGAGACAGGUGCUGCAUGGCUGUCGUCAGCUCGUGUUGUGAAAUGUUGGGUUAAGUCCCGCAACGAGCGCAACCCUUAUCCUUUGUUGCCAGCGGUUAGGCCGGGAACUCAAAGGAGACUGCCAGUGAUAAACUGGAGGAAGGUGGGGAUGACGUCAAGUCAUCAUGGCCCUUACGACCAGGGCUACACACGUGCUACAAUGGCAUAUACAAAGAGAAGCGACCUCGCGAGAGCAAGCGGACCUCAUAAAGUAUGUCGUAGUCCGGAUUGGAGUCUGCAACUCGACUCCAUGAAGUCGGAAUCGCUAGUAAUCGUAGAUCAGAAUGCUACGGUGAAUACGUUCCCGGGCCUUGUACACACCGCCCGUCACACCAUGGGAGUGGGUUGCAAAAGAAGUAGGUAGCUUAACCUUCGGGAGGGCGCUUACCACUUUGUGAUUCAUGACUGGGGUGAAGUCGUACAAAAGGGGAACCCAA
This 1516-nucleotide ribosomal RNA is filed under the name Klebsiella variicola. RNAcentral describes it as "bacterial SSU rRNA". It matches the Rfam family "Bacterial small subunit ribosomal RNA". Lineage: Bacteria; Pseudomonadati; Pseudomonadota; Gammaproteobacteria; Enterobacterales; Enterobacteriaceae. The record is from RNAcentral.